UCUGCUGAAAGCUGGAGUUGCUGCAUCUGCACUCCAAGAAGUGAAGAAAGAACUGACUGCGGGCAUUAUGAGGGCCAAAGCCACAUACGCCCAGAAAAUUCAAGGUCACUUCACCACCAUUGAUACCUGGCACAUGUUGAAGGGCAUCAAGUGCAUCAAUAACUGCAACAUUAAGGAUGUACAAUGCCAAAGGGAGCCCUCACUGUCAGAUGCACUCAAUAAGUUCUACGCCCGCUUUGAGGAUCUGCUUUGAGGAUACUUGUGCCACCACCUGGUGACACGUCUCUUUGUGUGACAACAGCAGAUGUGAAGAAGACCCUCCAGGAAAUCACCUAACCCUAACCCCGGAAACAUCCCAGGGCAGGUACUGAGGGACUGCACACAUCAACUGCCUGAGGUGCUGAUGUGGAAUUGGCAGACAUCUUUAACACCUCACUGUCACUGGCAUCUGUGCCCACCUGCUUAAAGACCACCACUAUUGUCCCCAAGGGCUCCACAGUGACAGGCCUGAAUGACUACCGACCUAUAGCCUUAACAUCAGUAGUCAUGAAGUGCUUCGAGAGGCUAGUCAUGACCCACAUUAAAGACUUCGUCCACUUCACUGUGGAACCCCAUCAGUAUGCCUACAGGAAGAACCGUUCCACUGCUGAUGCUAUCUCAUCAGUGAUCCACACAGCCCUCACCCACCUGGAGAGCAGGAACUCCUACAUCCGUCUGCUCUUUCUGGAUUUUUCCUCAGCCUUCAACACCGUCAACCCCACAGACCCUGGUGCAGAAGCUCUGCUCUCUUGGACAGAGUCCCACACUGGGGAACUGGAUUCUGGACUUCUUGACCAACAGACCUCAGAUUGUCAGGAUCCACAACAACGUCUCCUCCUUCAUCACCCUUAACACUGGCUUGCGGCAGGGCAGAGUGCUGAGACCCGUCCUCUUCACUCUGAUGACGUAUAACUGCUUGGC
Molecule: long non-coding RNA, 960 nt
Organism: Poecilia latipinna (sailfin molly)
Lineage: Eukaryota; Metazoa; Chordata; Actinopteri; Cyprinodontiformes; Poeciliidae
Exons: 3
Source: RefSeq, a predicted model, not a curated record